UGGUGCCAGCAGCCGCGGUAAUUCCAGCUCCAAUAGCGUAUAUUAAAGUUGUUGCAGUUAAAAAGCUCGUAGUUGAAUUUCGGGGUUAGUAAGUUGGUCAUGCCUCCGGUAUGCACUGGCUUUACUGAUUCCUCCUUCUUGAUGAACUGUAAUGUCAUUAAUUUGGUGUUGCAGGGAAUCAGGACUGUUACUUUGAAAAAAUUAGAGUGUUUAAAGCAGGCAUAAGCUUGAAUACAUUAGCAUGGAAUAAUGAAAUAGGACGUUUGAUCCUAUUUUGUUGGUUUCUAGGAUUGACGUAAUGAUUAAUAGGGAUAGUUGGGGGCAUUAGUAUUCAAUUGUCAGAGGUGAAAUUCUUGGAUUUAUUGAAGACUAACUACUGCGAAAGCAUUUGCCAAGGAUGUUUUCAUUAAUCAAGAACGAAAGUUAGGGGAUCGAAGACGAUCAGAUACCGUCGUAGUCUUAACCAUAAACUAUGCCGACUAGGGA
This 486-nucleotide ribosomal RNA is filed under the name uncultured Glomeromycotina. RNAcentral's name for it is "SSU rRNA". It matches the Rfam family "Eukaryotic small subunit ribosomal RNA", at positions 562 to 1052 of the family's 1831-position model. The record is from RNAcentral. Lineage: Eukaryota; Fungi; Glomeromycota.